ACAUCCAAGAGGGCAAGGAAAGCGGUGAAGAAGGUGAAAGCAAGCGUUAUCAUCAAGCUUGCUCAAUUCUUCCUGAUGACGUAUUGAGGCUUGUAUUUCCAAGACUUGAUUCUGUCGACAAAACCCAUGUGCAUACUGUUUGCAAGGAUUGGCUACGACUCACGAACCAAAUUCAUUAUCAGCUUCAGGUCAGCUGCUAUUUCUUUUAAUCAUCAAAGAAUAAUAGUCCAAGUAUUAGCUUGGACUAAUUGUUGACUAUUUCCCUCGACUCUGCUCAUUUGAUUUGUAGAUAUUCAUUGGAGGGAUGUUGCUCUUUAGUUAAUUACCGUCAAUGCUAUUGCAAGAUUUAUUCCUUGCUAGGUUUUUCAAUAUAAACAAGUUGUCUAUAAGUAGCACAAAAAAUUAAUGAAUGAAAAAAAUUAUCAAGUAUGCGAUUGACCUUCAGACAGCUGCAGAUGUCUCAUCAGCUGUUCCUGUUGGCGAACCAGGUACAAAUGGGACAAAUCCCCGUCCGCCAAACACUGGCCUCAUGAAUCUGUCGUCAAAUUUUCUCCACAAGUAAUGAACAGUUAUUGUGGGGUGAGUUAUCAACAACCUUAGGCUACUUGCUUUUUGGGUCAUUUGAUUGUUUCGCUGCUCGCUUGGGUCACCAUCUUCAAUGAAUAGUUGCCUUAGGUCUUCCAGACUUGGAAUAUCAGUUGCAUCUGAAACCAUUGGUUUUCUAUUCCUUAAGAGCACUGCCCCAAUAAGAGGUUUUGUCACUGAGCCGCAGACCUGUUCCCAUAAGAGAAAUGUCAUGUGUAUGUUAGGACAAUGUUUGUGCUAAUAAUCAAGGUGGAUGCAAUUCAAACGGAAUUCUUUUGAUUUCGAUUCUUUGAAGAUUUGACUAAAAUAUUGAGUUUUCCACUAAAACCAUUUAAAUUGGUCAUAUGUGCCACUGAGGAAGUGCAGAGCUCCCAGAACUACUGGUUAGUGCAGAACAAAGACAAGGAUUUAAAGAUAGAACAAUCUAAGGGCUCUCAGAUAAACAGAACUUACAAUUGUACUGAAGAGAACAACGGUAAUUGUACAGGUGAUCAUUAGUGCAGAAUCAGAGGAAGUGAUUUGCUGGGUGUUUGAAAACUGUAAUUAGAUAAUGAACAAGCAUAUGUCAAUCUGAGAAUCAAACACCUUGAAGUAGAAAUUCAAUUAUCGUGGCAUACCUGGUUAUAAGACAAAGCAAUAGUAACUGCACCUCUCAUUAGUCCUGCCCACCACAUGAUAAACUAAAAUUUCAAACAGUUAGCGACAUUUUCUAGUAGAACCAUAUGAGGGUAGCUAUUUUUUGGAUUCCAUGUGAUUAUUACCUGUUGCUUAAACUCAAUUUUGUUACCCUGUCUCUUUUGGAAACAAUUUAUAAUAUUUGCUAAAGGGAACACAAAUGCUGCCCUUCCGAUUAACACCAGUGCAAAGAAUGUUGCGCUGAUGGUCACCAAAGUUCCUGCACUGAAUUUUGAAUGCAAAACAAGGUAGGUAUGCCAAGUGAUGUUCUAAUGUAAAAUCUCUAGAGGCAUACAUUAUCAUGGAUUAUGAACUAAUUGUCUGUAUAUAUAGCAACAUUCAUCACCCUUCAGUUAAUAUACCAUGGCCAAUACUAAGGUUCAGUAUUAUUAGGAAGAGCACGUCUGUAUAUUUAACUGGUAGAAGGUUACCUUGCAUGACUCUCUUUCCAAUUUUCAAUGUCGAAGGCAUCCAUACCGACGUACACAAAGAUAAAAGUUUCUGCAAUAAAUGACAUUGUUGCAAAUGCAUGCCUGAAAUUAUCAGCCAGCAUCAGGUUAACUAAAAUCAUUACCAUUUCUGGAGGAAAUUUAAAAGAAAAGCAAAUAUAUCAAAAAAUAAAAGGGUUUCCAUCUAAAUCUGUAGUCAGGAACUAGAAUAAGUUUGCACAAAUGUAUGCCGGAAAUUAUCAGCCAGCAUGGGAUUAACUAAAAUCAUUCACCAUGUCUAGAGGAAACUUAAAAGAAAAUCAAAAAUAAAAAUCUCUCUCUAUGUAUAAUCCAUCUGUAUUAGAAUUAGAAUAAGUUCGUUAACUGAUGGAAUACAGUGUUCUUUGCACAGAUAAAGAAUGGAGAAACCUCUAUGAACACAGUGGAAAACAAACAUGACAAAAGAGAAGAAGCAGAAGAAAAAUAAGAAGAUUAGGGA
RNAcentral lists this long non-coding RNA (2187 nucleotides) under Manihot esculenta (cassava). RNAcentral's name for it is "long non-coding RNA (MESC_LNC005702)". Lineage: Eukaryota; Viridiplantae; Streptophyta; Magnoliopsida; Malpighiales; Euphorbiaceae. The record is from RNAcentral.